Neopelma chrysocephalum (saffron-crested tyrant-manakin) is the source of this 526-nucleotide long non-coding RNA. RefSeq lists it as uncharacterized. The record is from RefSeq and is a predicted model, not a curated record. The transcript is spliced from 4 exons. Lineage: Eukaryota; Metazoa; Chordata; Aves; Passeriformes; Pipridae.
CCCUGUUAUCCGCUUCGCAGCGCCAGCGGCAGUCGCGGCCCCGGAGGCAUCGCCGCUGGUGGCUGCAGCAUUCCCGGCUCCGAGAAGGAGCCAGGCUGGCUCUCCUGCUCCCAGCUAUUUCCGAGAGCGCAGCUGGACUGAUCCCCGCGGGACAUCGAGCCCCUUCCCUGCCCCGGCCCUCCUGCUUGGCCCAGUGCCACCCCCACAGCACUUGUUUCCUGGAGGGAGGGCAAGAGAUGGGUGAUUUCAGGGGAGCCAGGCAUGGAGCUGCAGCCAGCAGGAGACAGGAGAUCAGCCACAGGUGCCCAGCACCCACGGUCACUGGAUAGGGCGAGCUGGUGCAGGCUGCCCUGGCACCCCUAACACGGUGACAGCGAGGGCUGAGCCCAACCUGAGCUUGCACAAGCAUGGCCACAGCACCCACGGGCACAGCCCAUGCUCCCACUGUACAUCCAAAGCAGCAGCAGGACCCGGCCCUCCUUCUCUUCCAACUGGAGCAAGACCUGAGGAAGGUGCAUACCAGCUU